AACGACACCAAGACCGGAGCCGAGAUGACCACCAGUUACCGCAACCGCGCUGAUCGUUUCGGCGCGAAGUUCUGCCGCAACUUGAGGCAGGGCGCUUUCCUUCAUCUUCCCAAGGUCAGCGGGCGACUUGAUUGCGUCGAGCAAUGGGGUUGAAGAGGUCAUACCAAGGCUUCCAAUGCGACUGUGGAACAAGACAAGAACAUUUUGCAGUGUAGCAUUAUUGCAGCUAUGCAGCAGUAGUUCUGAGGAACUGCUGGUUAAAUGCCACUAUUGUGUGACUUAAGGGCAUCGUUUGAGGCAUCACUAAGUUAACGGCUUGCCUCCCCGGCAGUUGCCUUUCCCCCAAGCUGGCCGCCAGAAAUAGAAAGAAAACCUGUGCUGACAAGGACUAUUGUAUCGCUUGUUUGUG
RNAcentral lists this unclassified non-coding RNA (409 nucleotides) under Hevea brasiliensis (rubber tree). Lineage: Eukaryota; Viridiplantae; Streptophyta; Magnoliopsida; Malpighiales; Euphorbiaceae. The record is from RNAcentral.